Molecule: unclassified non-coding RNA, 327 nt
Filed under: Hevea brasiliensis (rubber tree)
Lineage: Eukaryota; Viridiplantae; Streptophyta; Magnoliopsida; Malpighiales; Euphorbiaceae
Source: RNAcentral
GCUGGUUCUUGAUUUCUCUCUACAGUCUGUGCUUAGCCUGGUCUUUUCUCUUUGCUCAAUAUUCUUUCUAAACUUCUGUCUUUGAUCCAUGUUUGGUCUAGAAAUCUCUCUACAAUCUGUGCUCUUCCGGGGAUUCCCCGCUUGAUCUGUGACUGGCACAGAUCCAUUUCUAAGAUGAGAUGAUCUCUCAAUAGCUGAUAUGAACUUCUUGAGAUGUUUGAUGUAUUGAGGAUAAAGCUCCAAGUCACAAUGAUUUCCUCCCUUCACCCAUAAUGGUUCAUAUUUCUCUUUACAAAGAUCCCAAAGCUGCUUACCAUGGGACCAAUC